Molecule: long non-coding RNA, 160 nt
Organism: Centruroides sculpturatus (bark scorpion)
Lineage: Eukaryota; Metazoa; Arthropoda; Arachnida; Scorpiones; Buthidae
Exons: 3
Source: RefSeq, a predicted model, not a curated record
GUAGAAGUAAAUCCUUGGCAUCCACAGAGAUGCCAUGUGGCACUCGCCAGGCGUGCGGUAAAGCAAAAUUCUACUUUAUGCCGUCAGAGACGUAUCUGCAAUGUGAAGAUGAAUCUGACGGCUCAGAUAUAAUGAGUCCACAAAAUGCUAUAAACACCCA